UACGUAGGGGUCGAGCGUUGUCCGGAGUUACUGGGCGUAAAGGGCGCGUAGGCGGCCUUCUAAGUCAGACGUGAAAUCCCCCGGCUUAACCUGGGAACUGCGUCUGAUACUGGGAGGCUUGAGUAUGGGAGAGGGAUGUAGAAUUCCAGGUGUAGCGGUGAAAUGCGUAGAUAUCUGGAGGAAUACCGGUGGCGAAGGCGGCAUCCUGGACCAUAACUGACGCUGAGGCGCGAAAGCUAGGGGAGCAAACGGG
This 253-nucleotide ribosomal RNA is filed under the name uncultured bacterium. RNAcentral describes it as "partial 16S ribosomal RNA". It matches the Rfam family "Bacterial small subunit ribosomal RNA", at positions 524 to 776 of the family's 1533-position model. The record is from RNAcentral.